This 465-nucleotide ribosomal RNA is filed under the name Vreelandella stevensii. RNAcentral's name for it is "partial 16S ribosomal RNA". It matches the Rfam family "Bacterial small subunit ribosomal RNA", at positions 338 to 795 of the family's 1533-position model. The record is from RNAcentral. Lineage: Bacteria; Pseudomonadati; Pseudomonadota; Gammaproteobacteria; Oceanospirillales; Halomonadaceae.
CCUACGGGUGGCAGCAGUGGGGAAUAUUGGACAAUGGGGGCAACCCUGAUCCAGCCAUGCCGCGUGUGUGAAGAAGGCCCUCGGGUUGUAAAGCACUUUCAGUGAGGAAGAACGCCUGGUGGUUAAUACCCAUCAGGAAAGACAUCACUCACAGAAGAAGCACCGGCUAACUCCGUGCCAGCAGCCGCGGGAAUACGGAGGGUGCGAGCGUUAAUCGGAAUUACUGGGCGUAAAGCGCGCGUAGGUGGCUUGAUAAGCCGGUUGUGAAAGCCCCGGGCUCAACCUGGGAACGGCAUCCGGAACUGUCAAGCUAGAGUGCAGGAGAGGAAGGUAGAAUUCCCGGUGUAGCGGUGAAAUGCGUAGAGAUCGGGAGGAAUACCAGUGGCGAAGGCGGCCUUCUGGACUGACACUGACACUGAGGUGCGAAAGCGUGGGUAGCAAACAGGAUUAGAUGCCCUUGUAGUC